This 528-nucleotide ribosomal RNA is filed under the name uncultured Herbaspirillum sp. RNAcentral describes it as "bacterial SSU rRNA". It matches the Rfam family "Bacterial small subunit ribosomal RNA", at positions 8 to 529 of the family's 1533-position model. The record is from RNAcentral. Lineage: Bacteria; Pseudomonadati; Pseudomonadota; Betaproteobacteria; Burkholderiales; Oxalobacteraceae.
AGAGUUUGAUCAUGGCUCAGAUUGAACGCUGGCGGCAUGCCUUACACAUGCAAGUCGAACGGCAGCACGGGAGCUUGCUCCUGGUGGCGAGUGGCGAACGGGUGAGUAAUAUAUCGGAACGUGCCCUAGAGUGGGGGAUAACUAGUCGAAAGAUUAGCUAAUACCGCAUACGAUCUAAGGAUGAAAGUGGGGGAUCGCAAGACCUCAUGCUCGUGGAGCGGCCGAUAUCUGAUUAGCUAGUUGGUGAGGUAAAGGCUCACCAAGGCGACGAUCAGUAGCUGGUCUGAGAGGACGACCAGCCACACUGGAACUGAGACACGGUCCAGACUCCUACGGGAGGCAGCAGUGGGGAAUUUUGGACAAUGGGCGCAAGCCUGAUCCAGCAAUGCCGCGUGAGUGAAGAAGGCCUUCGGGUUGUAAAGCUCUUUUGUCAGGGAAGAAACGGUUCUGGUUAAUACCCGGGGCUAAUGACGGUACCUGAAGAAUAAGCACCGGCUAACUACGUGCCAGCAGCCGCGGUAAUACGUA